UAUCAUUUUAAUUAACUUUUAGUAUCAUCGAAGAAAUAUUAAUUUAAAAGUCAUGAAACGAUUGAUUGAAAUAAGAAAAAUGUUUUACAGUGUGUGUAAAUUUUCAAGAGAAACUAUUACAAACAAAAGUGACAAGACAUUGAAGUAGUGUUGGCUGUAUAAUACAUUCGAGCAUGAUUCAAUGAUUAUUGUAUUUCUAUUUUAAACUUCUGAACUUUUUCAUCUAAUCCAUCAAUGGUAUUUUGUAACCAUUGCUACUAAGAAGAACACCAAGGAUUCUUUACACUUGUAUCCAAGCAUUGAAUUUGUUUCAUCUAAUCUUUUCAUGUUGAAACGUCGACGAAGCAACGCAGUCAUUCGUAAAGUUUCUUCGAUUUCUUGGAACAUCGAUUGUCGGAUCGUCGCCAUUAUUUCAACCGACUGCAACAUCUGAAAUGAAAAAUAUCGUCCAUUGAUUUAUUCGUGGAAAUAUAUUCACUUAAAAUAUAGAAUAUUGUGUGAAGAAUUUUGAACAUUUUCGAUUAUUAUUAACAAAUAAAUAAAUGGUGGAAGGAAUUUAUUUUUACUAAAAAAAAAAAGAAAAUAAAACAAAAUAAAAAGAAACUUGAAAAUUGUGUUUAUGAGAGAUUAAAUAAUUGAAGACAUUGGAAAAAAUCUUCAAAUGAGAAUUAAUUUCGAAUAGGAUGGUAUGUGAAAUUAGAAUUAGAUGCAAAGACAAUCGGAUUAGAAUCUAAAUGAUUCUCUUUUUUCUUUUUUUUUUAUUUUUUCCAUUUUAAUUUUUUGUACGAUUAUAGUAACAUCAAUUUAAGCCGAUCAUUAUUUCAUUUAACGCAUAUUUUUUAGAAUUAGGAAUAACGAAAUUAAGCUUGACAUUAGAGCUUAAAACGAGCUCUAUUAUAUUAUUUUUGAAUACUCGUUUUAAUUCGUACGACAUUAUAAUGUCACUAUAUUAUUUUUAAACAAAAAUUAUUGCGAGAAUUUCGAAUAGUUUCACAUUCAUUAGAAUCAGUUUCUAAGGAGAUUAGGCUUAUUACAUACGCUUUAAUUCGGACGACUAUAGUUUACGGAUAUCGUAACUGAACAUCGUUAAAUAUUAUUUUUAACAAAAAUUAAGAUGGGAAUUUCAAAUUAACACAUAUUAUUUACAAUUAAAAUUAAAGUAAUUAGAAUUAAAAUUUAUACUUUAAUGAUUUCCAUCAUAUUUCUUUCAAAUUUUUAUUUUAAUUCGUAUGACACGAACGAUGUCAUUAUUUGACACGUAUUAUUUUUAAAAUUAAGGUGGGAAUUUCAAAUAGUUUUAUCAAUAGUAA
Long non-coding RNA from Vespula pensylvanica (western yellowjacket), 1310 nucleotides. RefSeq lists it as uncharacterized. The transcript has 3 exons. NCBI's taxonomy places the organism in Eukaryota, Metazoa, Arthropoda, Insecta, Hymenoptera, Vespidae. The record is from RefSeq and is a predicted model, not a curated record.